RNAcentral lists this ribosomal RNA (466 nucleotides) under uncultured bacterium. RNAcentral describes it as "partial 16S ribosomal RNA". It matches the Rfam family "Bacterial small subunit ribosomal RNA", at positions 28 to 507 of the family's 1533-position model. The record is from RNAcentral.
GAUGAACGCUGGCGGCGUGCUUAACACAUGCAAGUCGAACGAUGAAGCUCAGCUUGCUGGGUGGAUUAGUGGCGAACGGGUGAGUAGCACGUGAGUAACCUGCCCUUAACUCUGGGAUAAGCCUGGGAAACUAGGUCUAAUACCGGAUAGGAGCGCCUACCGCAUGGUGGGUGUUGGAAAGAUUUAUCGGUUUUGGAUGGACUCGCGGCCUAUCAGCUUGUUGGUGAGGUAAUGGCUCACCAAGGCGACGACGGGUAGCCGGCCUGAGAGGGUGACCGGCCACACUGGGACUGAGACACGGCCCAGACUCCUACGGGAGGCAGCAGUGGGGAAUAUUGCACAAUGGGCGAAAGCCUGAUGCAGCGACGCCGCGUGAGGGAUGACGGCCCUCGGGUUGUAAACCUCUUUCAGUAGGGAAGAAGCGAAAGUGACGGUACCUGCAGAAGAAGCACCGGCUAACUACGUG